RNAcentral lists this long non-coding RNA (2600 nucleotides) under Podarcis lilfordi (Lilford's wall lizard). The record is from RNAcentral. Lineage: Eukaryota; Metazoa; Chordata; Lepidosauria; Squamata; Lacertidae.
CAACGGAGCUCCAUCAUUGGACGAUUUCAGGGCUCUGUUGCCGGGCAGUUUACGGACGUUGCCCAACAGGGCUCCCUCAUUGGAUAAUUUCCAGGCUCCGCCCAACAAGACUCUUGUCAUUGGACGACUUCUGGGCUCUGUUGCCGGGCAGUUUACAGGCCAUUGCCCCAGAGGAUGCUGCCAUUGGACGAUUUCGAGGCUCUGUUGCCGGGCGCUUUUCGACUGCUGCUCAACGGAGCUCUGUGAUUGGACGAUUUCAGGGCUCUGUUGCCGGGCAGUUUACAGGCGAUUGCCCAACCUGGCUCUGUCAUUGGACCAUUUCAGGGCUCUGUUGCCGGGCAGUUUACGGGUAACCACCCUAUGAGACUCUGUCAUUGGAGGAUUUCCUGGCUCCGCCCAACGGCGCUCCCUGAUUGGAUGAUUCCCUGGGGCCACAAAGGGGCGGAGCUUGCAAAGGAUCAUAGAGAGGGAAGGGACCUCUCUAGGACAUCCAAGCGGUUCUGAGGGGAUCAUAGAGAGGGAAGGGACCCCUCCAGGUCAAGGAUCAUAGAGAGGGAAGGGACCUCUCUAGGACAUCCAAGUGGUUCUGAGGGAUCAUAGAGAGGGAAGGGACCCCUCCAGGUCAAGGAUCAUAGAGAGAGAAGGGACCUCUCUAGGACAUCCAAGUGGUUCUGAGGGGAUCAUAGAGAGGGAAGGGACCUCUCUAGGACAUCCAAGUGGUUCUGAGGGGAUCAUAGAGAGGGAAGGGACCCCUCCAGGUCCUCCAGCCUGACCCCCUUGCAAAGGAUCAUAGAGAGAGAGAGAGAGAAGGGACCUCUCUAGGACAUCCAAGUGGUUCUGAGGGGAUCAUAGAGAAGGAAGGGACCCCUCCAGGUCAAGGAUCAUGGAGAGAGAAGGGACCCCUCCAGGUCCUCCAGCCUGACCCCCCUUGCAAAGGACCAUAGAAGGGACCUCUCUAGGACAUCCAAGUGGUUCUGAGGGGAUCAUAGAGAGGGAAGGGACCCCUCCAGGUCAAGGAUCAUAGAGAGAGAAGGGACCCCUUCCAGGUCCUCCAGCCUGACCCCCUUGCAAAGGAUCAUAGAGAGGGAAGGGACCCCUCCAGGUCAAGGAUCAUAGAGAGAGAAGGGAUCUCUCUAGGACAUCCAGGCGGUUCUGAGGGGACCAUAGAGAGGGAAGGGACCCCUCCAGGUCCUCCAGCCUGACCCCCUUGCAAAGGAUCAUAGAGAGGGAAGGGACCCCUCCAGGUCAAGGAUCAUAGAGAGAGAAGGGACCUCUCUAGGACAUCCAGGCGGUUCUGAGGGGACCAUAGAGAGGGAAGGGACCCCUCCAGGUCAUCCAGCCAGACCACCUGGCAAGAGGUUAUGGGGGGACCAUAGAGACGGGAGGCCAGGAAUCCUAGAAGGCUUGAGCCAGAAGGGAAGCCCUGAGGGUGCUCCAGCCUGACCCCCUUGCAAAGGACCAUAGAGAGGGAAGGGACUUCUCUAGGACAUUCAGCACCUUAUGAGGGGAUCGUAGAGAGGGAAGGGACCUCUCUAGGACCUCCAGUGAUCAUAGGGAAGUGACCCCUCCAGGUCCUCCAGCCUGACCCCCUUGCAAAGGAUCAUAGAGAGAGAGAGACAAGGGACCUCUCUAGGACCUCCAGCCCAGUUAUCAGGGGAUCAUAGAGAGGGAAGGGACCUCUCUAGGACAUCCAGGCGGUUCUGAGGGGACCAUAGAGAGGGAAGGGACCCCUCCAGGUCAUCCAGCCAGACCACCUGGCAAGAGGUUAUGGGGGACCAUAGAGACGGGAGGCCAGGAAUCCUAGAAGGGUUGAGCCAGAAGGGAAGCCCUGAGGGUCCUCCAGCCUGACCCCCUUGCAAAGGACCAUAGAGAGGGAAGGGACAUCUCUAGGACAUCCAGCACCUCAUGAGGGGAUCAUAGAGAGGGAAGGGCCCUCUCUAGGACAUCCAGCCCGUUCUUAGGGGAUCAUAGAGAGGGAAGGGACCUCUCUAGGACAUCCAGCCCGUUCUUAGGGGAUCAUAGAGAGGGAAGGGACCUCUCUAGGACCUCCAGUGAUCAUAGGGAAGUGACCCCGCCAGGGACCUCCAGCCUGACCCCUUGCAAAGGAUCAUAGAGAGAGACCUCUCUAGGACCUCCAGCCCAGUUAUCAGGGGAUCAUAGAGAGGGAAGGGACCUCUCUAGGACCUCCAGUGAUCAUAGGGAAGUGACCCCUCCAGGUCCUCCAGCCUGACCCCCUUGCAAAGGAUCAUAGAGAGAGACAAGGGACCUCUCUGGGACCUCCAGCCCAGUUAUCAGGGGAUCACAGCGAGGGAAGGGACCUCUCUAGGACAUCCAGCACAUUAGGGGAUCAUAGAGAGGGAAGGGACCCCUCCCGGUCCUCCAGCCUGACCCUUCUAGGAUUCCUCAGCCCCCCCCCCCAAUUUCCCAUCAAGCUUUGCUUACCCUCCAAGCCCGGGUUCAACAUCUCCAGGCGGGGACAAUCUAGGAUUUGGACACCGAGUGGGACCCCCAAUGGUCAUCCAGACCGACCCGCCCCAUGGAAGCCCCUCUAGGACGCCAUCUUUGACCCAACUUGUUCCCGUUCUUGCGAAUGCCCUCAA